Molecule: ribosomal RNA, 386 nt
Filed under: uncultured bacterium
Lineage: Bacteria
Description: bacterial SSU rRNA
Rfam family: Bacterial small subunit ribosomal RNA
Source: RNAcentral
AUUGAACGCUGGCGGCAUGCCUUACACAUGCAAGUCGAACGGCAGCACGGGGGCAACCCUGGUGGCGAGUGGCGAACGGGUGAGUAAAGCAUCGGAACGUGCCCUGGAGUGGGGGGAUAACGUAGCGAAAGUUACGCUAAUACCGCAUAUUCUGUGAGCAGGAAAGCAGGGGAUCGCAAGACCUUGCGCUCUGGGAGCGGCCGAUGUCGGAUUAGCUAGUUGGUGGGGUAAAGGCCUACCAAGGCGACGAUCCGUAGCGGGUCUGAGAGGAUGAUCCGCCACACUGGGACUGAGACACGGCCCAGACUCCUACGGGAGGCAGCAGUGGGAAUUUUGGACAAUGGCGGAAGCCUGAUCAGCCAUGCCGCGUGAGUGAAGAAGGCCUC